Molecule: ribosomal RNA, 495 nt
Filed under: uncultured bacterium
Lineage: Bacteria
Description: partial 16S ribosomal RNA
Rfam family: Bacterial small subunit ribosomal RNA
Source: RNAcentral
GACGAACGCUGGCGGCGUGCCUAAUACAUGCAAGUAGAACGCUGAAGGAGGAGCUUGCUUCUCUGGAUGAGUUGCGAACGGGUGAGUAACGCGUAGGUAACCUGCCUGGUAGCGGGGGAUAACUAUUGGAAACGAUAGCUAAUACCGCAUAAUAGUAGAUGUUGCAUGACAUUUGCUUAAAAGGUGCAAUUGCAUCACUACCAGAUGGACCUGCGUUGUAUUAGCUAGUUGGUGGGGUAACGGCUCACCAAGGCGACGAUACAUAGCCGACCUGAGAGGGUGAUCGGCCACACUGGGACUGAGACACGGCCCAGACUCCUACGGGAGGCAGCAGUAGGGAAUCUUCGGCAAUGGACGGAAGUCUGACCGUGCAACGCCGCGUGAGUGAAGAAGGUUUUCGGAUCGUAAAGCUCUGUUGUAAGAGAAGAACGAGUGUGAGAGUGGAAAGUUCACACUGUGACGGUAUCUUACCAGAAAGGGACGGCUAACUACGUG